This 253-nucleotide ribosomal RNA is filed under the name uncultured bacterium. RNAcentral describes it as "partial 16S ribosomal RNA". It matches the Rfam family "Bacterial small subunit ribosomal RNA", at positions 524 to 776 of the family's 1533-position model. The record is from RNAcentral.
UACGAAGGGGGCUAGCGUUGCUCGGAAUCACUGGGCGUAACGCGCACGUAGGCGGCUUUCUAAGUCAGGGGUGAAAUCCUGGAGCUCAACUCCAGAACUGCCUUUGAUACUGGAGAGCUUGAGUCCGGAAGAGGUGAGUGGAACUCCGAGUGUAGAGGUGAAAUUCGUAGAUAUUCGGAAGAACACCAGUGGCGAAGGCGGCUCACUGGCCCGGUACUGACGCUGAGGUGCGAAAGCGUGGGGAGCAAACAGG